GUUGGUGACCAUAAUAUCGGGGUCACACCUGUUCCCAUCUCGAACACAGUAGUUAAGCCCGAUAUGCCGAUGAUACUGUUCAGCGGGAAAGUAGGUUAUCGCCAACU
This 107-nucleotide ribosomal RNA is filed under the name bacterium. The record is from RNAcentral.